GGCUUCGUAGUUCAAUGGAUAGAACAACCCUCUCCUAAAGGGUAAAUAGGGGUUCGAUUCCCCUCGGGGCUACUA
Molecule: transfer RNA, 75 nt
Filed under: Alloprevotella sp.
Lineage: Bacteria; Pseudomonadati; Bacteroidota; Bacteroidia; Bacteroidales; Prevotellaceae
Description: tRNA-Arg
Rfam family: tRNA
About the family: Transfer RNA (tRNA) molecules are approximately 80 nucleotides in length.
Source: RNAcentral